Molecule: transfer RNA, 67 nt
Filed under: Taeniochauliodes attenuatus
Lineage: Eukaryota; Metazoa; Arthropoda; Insecta; Megaloptera; Corydalidae
Description: tRNA-Asp
Source: RNAcentral
AAAGAAUUAGUUAAUUAUAACAUUAGUAUGUCAAACUAAAAUUAUUAGAAUAUUCUAUUAUUCUUUA